This 2231-nucleotide long non-coding RNA is filed under the name Citrus x clementina. RNAcentral's name for it is "Citrus clementina (C. clementina) long non-coding RNA (CCLE_LNC001803)". Lineage: Eukaryota; Viridiplantae; Streptophyta; Magnoliopsida; Sapindales; Rutaceae. The record is from RNAcentral.
AUUUUUUAAAAUUUUAUAGAAUAAUUUUUUUUAAAAUUUAUUUAACAGUAACAUAAUUAUUUUUAGUGUUAAAAUUAUUAAUUGAUAUAAGUUUAAAAAUAAAAAUAAUAUAAAAUAUAUGUUAAAAUUUUAAAAAUAAUUAGAUGUACAUGUAAAAAAAAAAAGUAACACAAACAAAUAGUGCAGAAAUAAUUUCCCUUUUAAAAUUCCUAAGAAUGACUAGUGUGAAGAGAGAACAAUUACAACACUAACAAAAGGAAAAGAACCGACAACUCUCUUAAAAAAAAAUUGAAAACUUUCUGUUCAAUAUUAGUUUCAAUUUCAUAUAUAUUAAAAAAAAAGAAUCUUUAGCAUCCUCCCUUAUUUUCAUAGCCGCUUUUGAACUACUAAACCCCAUCAACUGGCUGCUCACAUCCCUCGGGCGAAGCCGGCGCCAUCUUGGUGGUGGUAGUGUUGGUCGUCAUGGUUCGCCGGAGGAUGGUAGUAUAGGUGAGCUGUGUGUGAGAAUUAAAUCAACAGAAGAAGGUGAAGGAUUUGGUAGCGGCAGAAGAAGAAGUGAAGGAUUUGGCAGCGGCUGGAAUUGUGAUGUCUUGUGUGUGUGUGUGUGUGUGUGGCUAGGUAUGAUUAGGUUUAGAUGGAUUUUUUCUUUUAUAGCAACCCGAUCGGGUUGGUUAUUUGGUGCGGGUUUAACCCUAAUCAAAAUAUAACCCGAUCGGUUUUGAGAUUUGUGACUGAAUAGUUUUGAAGGUAACCCGAACUGAACCAAAAUCAAAAUAAUUUUUUGUUUCAAUUCGGUUCCGGUGGCCCAAGCUGGACAUCCACAUCACAUGCUUAUUUGGUAAAUGAUUACAGAUUACAUCUAAGACAACUGUUUAAUCAGUUGUAAAAUUACAACUAAUAAAAAUGAAUAACUAUCAUUGGUUGUGAAAUAUAUGAGGGUUGGAUGUAUAAAAUAAAGGGGUGGGCAUAUUUGCACCCACUAUUUUUGUUAAUUCACCUUGCUUCUAAAAUAUAAUUACAAUAAAUUCACAAUAUUUUUAGUAAAUACAAAUUAAUAAAAAUUUGUACAAUCAAUCAAUUAAAUCUUUCUAUUAAAUUUUUUCCUUAAGUUUCUUUGAUCAUAAACUUCAAUAAAAGUUUUAUUUUACAAUUUUGUUAUUAUGAUAUAAAACAACUGAAUUGUCUCAAUAAUUAUGAGUUAUUAUAUCUACUAAUUUAUAUAUUUAAUUUUGUGACUGAUAAUAUAAUAUUUUAAAAUGAAAUCUAAUUAUUAUUUUAACUACCUUUACGUGUAAAUGAUAUAAAUUGGACAGUCCAAUAAUUUACAUGAGUAUUAUGAUAUAAAACACUAUGUUACUUUAAUUAAAGACUAGUAAUCACUUCUCAAAAAAAAAAAGAAAAAAGACUAGUAAUCAAACUAAUGAAGUAGUAAUAUAAACAAUGAGUUUGGUAUAAAAUUGGAAAAAUAUUGAAGUUAACGUAAAUUCUUGGUAGUUUUACCUUAUAAGAGUAAAUGAUAAGUAUAUAAUACAUACAUAUUUUGUCCUUAAUUAUAUAGUUGUUAGUUAUUACUAUAUGUUAUUUUUAAUUUAUUUAUUUAUUUAUUUUAUUGAAUAGUAAAUUAAUUGGAGAUUAUCGAUUAAACCUUGCAUAACUUCUUAUUGUAUUUCCUAGAUAAUCUGCCUUUUCCCCGAAUUUGACUGAGGGCGAAAGGGUGGCUAAGAAUCGAUCUUCUUACUUGAUAGAAGGCAAGGCUGCAGCAGCUUAGAGAACUAUUUGUAUGGAUUUCACCUAUAAGGGAGGGAUGCCUGCAUGAAAAAGUUCAAUUUGGGAAGUCAUGAAGAUUAAAUUAGAAGAUAAAAAAAAGGCCAAUAAUUAAUGGAACCAAUAGCUUUGAGGAGAGCACGUACUGAGCAAUUAGACGUAGAAAGAAAUUGAUGGUAGAGAUGGCCAAUGGGCUUGGCAACACACAGCACGGCAUGACACGGCACAUGCAUGAUAAGUGUCUGUACAGCACGGCACAAGCACAUUUCGAUAGGGCAUGCGACGCAGUAAGGCACGCACGGGGGUUGGUCGAACUUAGAAUUUUAGGCACGCGGGCCUUAAAAGCCCAUCAUGAUUAGAGAUAGGCUAAAACAUGACACGUGAAAAAGCCUACAAAAUGCACGUUUCACUUUUUAAUGAAAGUAAACUUAAAAUUUUAUGAUUUUACAAAUAACUUGAAAUUGAAU